GCCGCUGUGAAAUAGAGGGCUGUGGGACGGUCCUCGCACACCCACGUUACUUACAGCACCAUAUAAAAUACCAGCACCUGCUAAAAAAGAAGUACAUGUGUGAUCAUCCCUCGUGCGGACGCUUGUUUCGUCUCCAGAAGCAGCUGCUGCGCCAUGCCAAACACCACACAGAUCAGAGGGACUACAUCUAUGAGUUUUGUGCACGAGCCUUCAAGAGUUCCCACAACCUGGCUGUGCACAGGAUGAUCCACACAGGGGAGAAGCCGAUACAGUGAGUAGGGUGAACAUGUGUCAUGCACGCCCCGACAUGUGCUGCGUACGAGGAAGUAGAUCAAAAAUAGACAUGACGUGAUCGUCAUCAGCAUGAUUUCAAAUAUGUCUAAUUUUUUAUAGAAUUCUUGAUUUUCAAUAAACCCAAAUUCCUUUCAAAUCACCAGUCUAUGUGGUCUUCCACCAUCAACGUACAAUACACGAAGACGUUUUUUUUUAA
Molecule: long non-coding RNA, 490 nt
Organism: Labrus mixtus (cuckoo wrasse)
Lineage: Eukaryota; Metazoa; Chordata; Actinopteri; Labriformes; Labridae
Exons: 3
Source: RefSeq, a predicted model, not a curated record